Small nuclear RNA from Heterocephalus glaber (naked mole-rat), 192 nucleotides. Its record names the gene U2. It matches the Rfam family "U2 spliceosomal RNA". From Rfam's summary of the family: U2 is a small nuclear RNA (snRNA) component of the spliceosome (involved in pre-mRNA splicing). Complementary binding between U2 snRNA (in an area lying towards the 5' end but 3' to hairpin I) and the branchpoint sequence (BPS) of the intron results the bulging out of an unpaired adenosine, on the BPS, which initiates a nucleophilic attack at the intronic 5' splice site, thus starting the first of two transesterification reactions that mediate splicing. NCBI's taxonomy places the organism in Eukaryota, Metazoa, Chordata, Mammalia, Rodentia, Bathyergidae. The record is from Ensembl.
AUCGCUUCUCGGCCUUUUGGCUAAGAUCAAGUGUAAAAAGUUAUGAUAGUUAAAAUAUCUUAGCACUCAUCUGCAAAUUGAAAAUAUGUAUCUUUUUGUUGUUUUAGGUAUAUGUGUUACAUGUACAUGUUACAUACUAUCCUAUCAUGCACAUGUAAAAAUAUGCUCAUAAGUAGUCUUGUGUUACCUGCC